Molecule: long non-coding RNA, 919 nt
Filed under: Ananas comosus (pineapple)
Lineage: Eukaryota; Viridiplantae; Streptophyta; Magnoliopsida; Poales; Bromeliaceae
Description: long non-coding RNA (ACOM_LNC026381)
Source: RNAcentral
ACACCAACGCAUCCAUUCAUUCAUUUUCAUUCAUUAUACCCAAACUCAUUUAGAGAGAGAGAGAGAGAGGGAGUUUUAAGAAGCGCUUUCACAUCUCUCUUCUCCAUUUCCUUCCACUAUAUACCUCUCCAUCCCCAAAUUAAACCCUAACGCGCGAAUCCCCAAAUUAAUUCCCACCAUUUAAUUCCCGUCGGUUUCCAUUUCCAAGCCCUAGAUCCGAUUAGGCGAUCGAUCGAGCAACCGAUGCAGAGGAUGGGCACCGACGACGGGCGAAUCGGCGGCGGCGGCGGCGGCGCUGGGGAGGCGGAGAUCGUCGGCGUCGGCGGCGACCACCGCGUGCCCUUCAGCGGCCCCCUCAGCAAGCGCGGCGGGAGCGGCAGCAGCAGCCGCAAGAGCGCGCGCUUCAGCAUCUCCUCCCCCGCCCCCUCCUCCUCCUCGGCCGCCGGGGCCGGGGACGACGACGACGAGGCCUACGUCGAGAUCACCCUCGACGUGCGCGACGACUCGGUGGCGGUGCACAGCGUGAAGAGCCUCAAGUUCAUCUCCAAGACCGACGGCGCCGCCGGCUGGGCCGCCGUCGAGAAGCGCUUCGACGACCUCGCCGUCGACGGCGCCCUCCACCGCUCCCGCUUCGGCCAAUGCAUCGGUACUCAAUUUNCCGCAAGAGCGCGCGCUUCAGCAUCUCCUCCCCCGCCCCCUCCUCCUCCUCGGCCGCCGGGGCCGGGGACGACGACGACGAGGCCUACGUCGAGACCGGCCCCAUCGACCGAUCCAAAUCCGCGGCGGCGCACGCUCUCAAGAGCCUCAAGUUCAUCUCCAAGACCGACGGCGCCGCCGGCUGGGCCGCCGUCGAGAAGCGCUUCGACGACCUCGCCGUCGACGGCGCCCUCCACCGCUCCCGCUUCGGCCAAUGCAUCGG